AUUAAAUGAGAGUUUGAUCCUGGCUCAGGACGAACGCUGGCGGCGUGCCUAAUACAUGCAAGUAGAACGCUGAAG
RNAcentral lists this ribosomal RNA (75 nucleotides) under Streptococcus equinus. RNAcentral's name for it is "16S rRNA. Bacterial SSU". It matches the Rfam family "Bacterial small subunit ribosomal RNA", at positions 1 to 74 of the family's 1533-position model. The record is from RNAcentral. Lineage: Bacteria; Bacillati; Bacillota; Bacilli; Lactobacillales; Streptococcaceae.